GGGGUUGUGGCUCAAAGGUAGAGCACUCUCCUGGCAUGUGUGAGGCACUGGGUUCAAUCCUCAGCACCA
This 69-nucleotide transfer RNA is filed under the name Marmota monax (woodchuck). It matches the Rfam family "tRNA". Rfam says of the family: Transfer RNA (tRNA) molecules are approximately 80 nucleotides in length. Their secondary structure includes four short double-helical elements and three loops (D, anti-codon, and T loops). RNAcentral also lists the same sequence under 3 other names. Lineage: Eukaryota; Metazoa; Chordata; Mammalia; Rodentia; Sciuridae. The record is from Rfam by way of RNAcentral.